AUAGAGAGAGAGAGGAAGGCAUGGAGACAUAGAGAGAGAGAUGAAGGCAGAGAGACAUAGAGAGAGAGAGAGGAAGACAGUGAGACAUAGAGAGAGAGAGGAAGACAGGGAGACAUAGAGAGAGAGAGAAAGACAGGGAGACAUAGAGAGAGGAAGACAGUGAGACAUAGAGAGAGAGGGGAAGACGGGGAGACAUAGAGAGAGAGAGAAAGACAGGAAGAGAUAGAGAGAGAGGAAGGCAGAGAGACAUAGAGAGAGAGAGGAAGGCAGGGAGACAUAGAGAGAGAUAGAAAGACAGGAAGAGAUAGAGAGAGAGGAAGGCAGAGAGACAUAGAGAGAGAGAGGAAGGCAGGGAGACAUAGAGAGAGAGAGGAAGGCAGAGAGACAUAGGGAGAGAGGAAGACAGGGAGACAUAGAGAGAGAGGAAGGCAGGGAGACAUAGAGAGAGAGGAAGGCAGGGAGACAUAGAGAGAGAGGAAGGCAGGGAGAUAUAGAGAGAGAGGAAUUCAGGGAGACAUAGAGAGAGAGAGAGGAAGACAGGGAGACAUAGAGAGAGAGAGGAAGGCAGGGAGACAUAUAGAGAGAGAGGAAGGCAGAGAGAGAGAGGAAGGCAGAGAGACAUAGAGAGAGAGGACGACAGGGAGACAUAGAGAGAGAGUGGACGACAGGGAGACAUAGAGAGCGAGUAAGCCAGGGAGACAUAGAGAGAGAGAGUAAGACAGGGAGACAUAGAGAGAGAGAGGAAGGCAGGGAGACAUAGAGAGAGAGUGAAAGACAGGGAGAGAUGGAGAGAGAGGAAGGCAGGGAGACAUAGAGAGAGAGAGAGAGAGAGAGAGAGAGAGAGAGAGAGAGAGAGAGAGAAGACAGGGAGACAUAGAGAGAGAGAGGAAGACAGGGAGACAUAGAGAGAGAGAGGAAGGUAGGGAGACAUAGAGAGAGAGAGAGAGAGAGAGAGAGAGAGAGAGAGAGAGAGAGAGAGAGAGAGAGAGAGAGAGAGAGAGAGACAGGGAGACAUAGAGACAUAGAGAGAGAGAUGAA
Long non-coding RNA from Oncorhynchus keta (chum salmon), 1038 nucleotides. RefSeq lists it as uncharacterized. The record is from RefSeq and is a predicted model, not a curated record. NCBI's taxonomy places the organism in Eukaryota, Metazoa, Chordata, Actinopteri, Salmoniformes, Salmonidae. The transcript is spliced from 2 exons.